Molecule: ribosomal RNA, 223 nt
Filed under: uncultured bacterium
Lineage: Bacteria
Description: partial 16S ribosomal RNA
Rfam family: Bacterial small subunit ribosomal RNA
Source: RNAcentral
UAACGCGUGAGUAACCUGCCUCUAAGAGGGGGAAAACAUUCUGAAAAAGAAGCUAAUACCGCAUAACAUAUAUUUAUCGCAUGGUAGAUAUAUCAAAGAUUUAUCGCUUAGAGAUGGACUCGCGUCCGAUUAGUUAGUUGGUGAGGUAACGGCUCACCAAGACUGCGAUCGGUAGCCGGACUGAGAGGUUGAACGGCCACAUUGGGACUGAGACACGGCCCAG